GACGAACGCUGGCGGCGUGCUUAACACAUGCAAGUCGAACGCUGAAGCUUGGUGCCUGCACUGGGUGGAUGAGUGGCGAACGGGUGAGUAAUACGUGAGUAACCUGCCCUUGACUCUGGGAUAAGCCUGGGAAACUGGGUCUAAUACUGGAUACGACAUGUCACCGCAUGGUGGUGUGUGGAAAGGGUUUUACUGGUUUUGGAUGGGCUCACGGCCUAUCAGCUUGUUGGUGGGGUAAUGGCUCACCAAGGCGACGACGGGUAGCCGGCCUGAGAGGGUGACCGGCCACACUGGGACUGAGACACGGCCCAGACUCCUACGGGAGGCAGCAGUGGGGAAUAUUGCACAAUGGGCGAAAGCCUGAUGCAGCGACGCCGCGUGAGGGAUGACGGCCUUCGGGUUGUAAACCUCUUUCAGCACGGAAGAAGCGAAAGUGACGGUACGUGCAGAAGAAGCGCCGGCUAACUACGU
This 471-nucleotide ribosomal RNA is filed under the name uncultured bacterium. Its description in RNAcentral is "partial 16S ribosomal RNA". It matches the Rfam family "Bacterial small subunit ribosomal RNA", at positions 28 to 506 of the family's 1533-position model. The record is from RNAcentral.